This 467-nucleotide ribosomal RNA is filed under the name uncultured bacterium. Its description in RNAcentral is "partial 16S ribosomal RNA". It matches the Rfam family "Bacterial small subunit ribosomal RNA", at positions 28 to 507 of the family's 1533-position model. The record is from RNAcentral.
GACGAACGCUGGCGGCGUGCUUAACACAUGCAAGUCGAACGGAAAGGCCUCUUUCGGGGGGUACUCGAGUGGCGAACGGGUGAGUAACACGUGAGUAACCUGCCCUUGACUUUGGGAUAACUUCAGGAAACUGGGGCUAAUACCGGAUAGGAGCUCCUGCUGCAUGGUGGGGGUUGGAAAGUUUCGGCGGUUGGGGAUGGACUCGCGGCUUAUCAGCUUGUUGGUGGGGUAGUGGCUUACCAAGGCUUUGACGGGUAGCCGGCCUGAGAGGGUGACCGGCCACAUUGGGACUGAGAUACGGCCCAGACUCCUACGGGAGGCAGCAGUGGGGAAUAUUGCACAAGGGGUGGAAGCCGGAUGCAGCAACGCCGUGGGCGGGAUGACGGCCUUCGGGUUGUAAACCGCUUUCGCUCAUGACGAAGCUUUGUGUGACGGUAGUGGGUAAAGAAGCACCGGCUAACUACGUG